This 6059-nucleotide long non-coding RNA is filed under the name Capsicum annuum. Its description in RNAcentral is "long non-coding RNA (CANN_LNC011448)". The record is from RNAcentral. Lineage: Eukaryota; Viridiplantae; Streptophyta; Magnoliopsida; Solanales; Solanaceae.
UUCUCUGCCAGGCCACUCCGAAACCCGCCUAACAAAAUCCUCCACUAACUCACAAGCCAGCCCAAACUCAGCCCAUUUCUCCACCUUUCCCGUUUUACCCAUACAACAAACUAGUAACAACAACAUACGCACAAAGCAACAAAACAGCAGCAGCUACACAACAGCAACACGACAAAAACCAACGAAACAACGACAAUAAUAUCCACGACGCCGAUCAGCGUUCGGACCACCGGAUAUUAGGAAAUCUGGUGGUUUUUCCACCUCUCCUCCUCUCCCCCUACUCUAUUUCCGUCUCCAUCAACAUCAAUUGUCUUUCCAUCAAUUUUUGUUCAAGAAAACCAAAGCCCAAUGCUCUACAAUUUCAAGAAAAAUGGGGAAAAUCUCAAGACCCAUUGGAUUCAAGGUGUUACACCUUCGAUUCGACGGCUAUCAAAGUUUAAAUUGGUGGAUCCGAGCCUCUCUACCUCGAAUCCAUCACUUUUCUUCAAAUUGACCGAAAGAGGUGACCCCUUUCUCUCCUUUAUUUCUUUUUAUCCAUUAGUCCUGAUGACUUCUCGAAGAAUUUGCCUUCUCAAUGAAUUCAAAAUCCAAAUUUAUUUUUUGGGAACUGUUGGAAGCUUCAAGGAGCCAUUGCAAUCCAAUACUGCCUAUAAAAGGGGUUUUUUCCACCCUCUUGUAGGAGAGGGAAAAAAAAGAAAAAAAUGAGGAAGAAAAAAGGGUAAUAGAGAAAUUAGAAUUUUUUUUGUGUGUUUUUGUCAUACUCGCCGAUUCACCAAGUUUCUAUUUCCUUUUCUUUAUUUUUCUGAUUAUUGUUACUAGUUCCUGCAUCGGAAAAGGUGAAUCCUCCUCCUUCAAAAUUCUUAUUUAUGAAGCUUUGGUCAUCUAAGCAAUUUAUGUUUGAUGAAUUUUUAAACGUAUCUAUACCAUAAAUUUUGUGUUUGCGACAAAAUUGGCAUAGCUUCUUAAUUGUUUAGCAUGAAAUUUGACUCCUUUAAAUGCCUGACUUGGUAAGAAACAUGUGCUUGUUAUUGCCUAUUUUCUAUCUUGACGCAAUAGUUUUAAUACUAGGAAUUUGCAUGUUUUCAUUUGUCUUUUGGUUGCAAACUUUGAUGACCAUCACUUUUAGUCAAGGUCUGUAUAUAUAUAUUUGAGCUGACGUGGUUAUCACCUUAAUAGCGUGGGUUUAGACGUAUCCAUGGAAAAAUGGUUGAUCGUAUCCAUGGAAAAAUGGUUUAUCUUUUUUCUUUCUUCGAGCAUAGUGUAUAAAUUAGUUGAAGUUCUCUACUCCAUUUUUGUACAAAAAUGGGUAUGUUUUCUCUUCUCUAUGUGGCUACUAUUGCCUAAAAUAUAAUAAAGAGAUUUAUUACUUUAUUGUUUAAGCUUUCAGUUAUUACAAUACUCAUUUAAUCAUUUUGAUAGUUAAGUAAAUAAUAUGCCAAGAGACUGGUUGAGGUCCAUGUUGCUAUCUCUUUGUGCAAAGGACAAUAUGUGCAUUUGUUCCCAAUUUAUUUAACGUACAUAGAGCCCUUGGUUACCUUUAAAAAAGUUGAAAAAACAUAAAAUGACGAAAAAUAUCCUUUUUAAGGGAUAAAUCCUUGUUCAAACUGCUUUGUGUUCAUUUGAUCAUAUAUUGACUUUUGGUCUAUGAACUUCUUGGGUAAUCCCUUUCAUAUUUGGGUGUGUGACUUGAUCUCUAGUUGGUAACUACAGAGCAUUUUCGUUUAUGUGUCAAAACUAUGUUUUGUGUGAACUUAUACUACUAUUUAUCUCUUCUUUUCUAUGCAUGAAAUCCCUCCUUGAGUCCAUCGGACUCCCAUAUCUUGCAUUCGAUUGAGUUAAACUCAACGUCCAUCGAGUCAAGACCCAUGUCAAGUCCGAAAAGGGACUAAUAUGCAAGAAAAAUAGGCUGGUAUACAAUCAUAUACUCUGAUAUAUGGUGAAUAUCCGUCUUAAGCAGCAGGUGCAUGCUAUCCCGCGGUUUAUGAUGAAAAAGUGGAGCAAAAUACGUAGGCAUCCACACUGAUAUACACUGUAUACACAGGGGUAUACAGAAAAAUACAGGAAAGAAGCUGCUGAUAUACCACAGAUAUACAGGGGAAAAAAAUAGGCUAAAGUCCAUGGAAUUGGUCCAAAAUUGGACAGAUUUUUAAUGUGUCAAAAGGGGCCCAAUUUUCACUCUUCUCUAUUUAAUUAUCCAUUCUAACUUAUUUAUUUGUAAUAGUUUAGGAUACGUGCAUUGCACGUGACACAAAUUUAUAAAAUAAACUUUAUUGAAAAAUCAACCAUCUAAUAAUUUGAUCUGAUUGGAGUUAUUUAAUUAUAUGGUAUUAUUGACUUAUUUUUUGUUUGAUACCAUCACACAUUGUUAUCAAAUUAUGUGUGGGACUUCUAACCAAUAAGGAUACUUUAUGCCAUUGAGUCAAUUUGUUAUGGUCAUUUUACUUGGGGCUUUGGGCUGUCGGUGACAAAAGAGUUUUAAAAUGAUGUGUAAGUGACUAAUGUCUUAAUAAUUAAGUGGAGGUGACAAUUACUUUAUUAUGGAUUAAGAAAGUUGGGUAUGUUUGAGAAUAACCCAGAAGUUUUUAAAUUUACACUUUGAUUCAAAUGUUUACCUAGUAUAACGAGAAACGGAGGGAAAAAGGCGUCUUUCUCUCUGUUCUCAUUCAUUGUUGUUUUCUCUCUCUUAGCGAUUUUUGUUGUUUAUUGUUGUUGUUGCUUUAUUCAUCAUCUUUUGCUUCAUUAUCAUCUUCUACUUUAUUAUGAUCUCUAUUUUUUUCUUGUUGAUCAUUGUUGUUGUUGCUUUACUGCUAUUGUUGCCAUUUGACCAAUUUCUUAGGUCAAAUUUUGUUUCCUACAUCACUUUCCACUUUGGUAUUACUUCAUAGGAGACUUUAGUAAGUCAAAGUAUGAUUUUUAGUUGAAUUUGUCAUUUGGGUAAAUGCUAUUGUGUUGUUUCUUCAACGAUAGAUAGCACGCAAACAUGAAUGCAACAUAAUAGCCAUCUGUUUAAAUAGAUCUGUUUCAACAGAAGACUCAUAUGUUGGAUUCAUAUUUAUGGUUCCAUAGUUUCGUUACAUAAAUCAAACAGAUGAGUCGUCUGUUACAAUAGAUGACCCAUUUGUUGCAAUAAAUUAGUUAUCUGGUGCAACAUGAUAAAUAUUUGUUGCAACAAAUUAAUAACCUCUUGCAAUAGAACCUGAACUUGAUUCCAACAGACGUGUUGUCUGUUGCAACAGGGUAAAUAUCUGUUGCAACAAAUUAUUAACCCGUUGCAACAGAACCUGAACUCAAUUCCAACAGACAAUAAAUAUGUGUUGCAAUAUAUUAGUAACCUGUUGCGAUAGAACCUGACCUCGAUUCCAAUAAAUCGUCGUCUGUUGCAACAGGUAAAUCAUCUGUCGCAAUAGGUUGAUUAUCUGAUGCAACAUGUCACUUAUUUGUUGGAAUCUGCUUCAAAGGUGCCUCAAUACUGUAACAUCUGUCCAACAAGCACUUUAUCUGUUGCAACAGAUAUAUAGUCUGUUGCAACACAUGAUUCACUUGUUACAACAGAUGACUCGUCUGUUGAAAUCAACUUUAGGAGCGUAACAUGAAUCCCAAUAGGUACUAAUCUGUUGCUAUUGAUUACACAUCUGUUGGGAUUCAUUUAUGGCACUAUGAAAUCACUAUUAACUUUUUUUAAAAAAUGACUUUAUUUAGGUACUACUAAUGGAGGGAUCAAUAACAAUAGGGGUGGAUUGUCAUGGUCAAUGGAUCGAGAAGAGCAAUUGAUAUAUAUGUCAUAGGAAAGAGAGUGAAAUGCUAGAGACGAUAGCUAUGACAGUCCAAAGUUGUGUUUCGUAUGAUGAUUUUGUGAACUUAAUCAUCAGCUAUUGUGGACUGAAUUAUCAAUCGAAAGAACUCGUCAUCAGUUACAUGCACAACUCCUUAGAAAAUCAAAGGAUACUGCCUUUCAAGAUAACCGAUCAGAUUCGGUUGCGUGCUUAUCUUAGUUAUUCAUUCAGGCCGGUGUUAAGGGUGUACAUGGUUGAAAAAACAAGAGAGAAUGAGAACCAGAACAUAGAAUUCUUAAACUAAUGGAAAAAAGUAUUGAUUGCCAUUAAUUUUGAUGACUUGUAACAAGGAAAUGUUUAUCCUAAAUAUAUUUAAUUAAUUUUCAACUCUUAAAUUAGGAAUAAAUAUUGAAAUUCUGAUGAUUUCUAAUAAGGAAAGGUUUUUACAAUAAAUAUAUUUAAUUAAUUUUCAACUCUUAAAUAUUAGGAAAAAUAGUGAAAAUAUGAUUUUGUCUAAAGUAAAGAGUUUUAAUGAAGAGUAAGAAGUUCAAACAAUAUUUCUAAGAUCCUUCACACUUUUAAUAUAUUAUAGAUAUAGAUUUGCUUGAAUACUUUUUUAUGUUAAUUUUUUUGAAAACAAGUCUUUUACAUUAGGAUAACUUUUUUUUUGUCAUGUAAUAAUUAGUCUCAUUUAGGUUAAAAAGAGUUUUCUCAAGCAUAAAAAGAAAGAGAUUUUCUUUAAUUGAAAAGUUUAAACUCUCCCAUAAUCGAUUAAAUGUUCCUUAAUAUCUUUUUUUUUUAAAAAAUCUAUCAUUGUUAAAAUCAAGAUUUUAAAUUGACAUUGACCAUAAAAAUAGAUUUUCCUUAAAAAAUAAUAAUUUUCCUUAAAACAAAAUAAAUUAUUAUUUUCAUUAAAAUUAAUUGGUAAAAUAUGGGCUUUUGUUUAAAAUUUUCUUUAGCUUAAAAAUUUGUCGAGAUAAAAUGAUUUUCAAAAUCGCUCGACACAAGUUUGAUAAAUAAAUAAAUCAUAAAGUUAGCCACCCAUUUAAGUUAGUCAAAAUAUUUUGGUCAACCGUUUUAAAACGGACGUUCUUAAAUGCCUUAAAACCCUUUUUAGGACGUUAAUUGAACCCUUACCUAUUUUCUCUAAUCUUAAAAGAUUUAUUUAUAUUUUUAAACCUUUGGAAUUCAUUUAAGCUUUCUUGAUUUUUCUAUAAAAAUUAAGUGGUAACUGUGUAAUUUUUCUUAAGUUGUUUCGUCAUUUUUCUAAGUUUUUGAAAUAAUUUAAGAAGUCAAAAACUAUUUUUCUUUAAAUAAUUUAUCCCCCCUUGAUAAAUUCGAAAAGGGAUAAAACACACUAUUAAGAAAGGAAGGAAAUCAGCUAAAAAGGUUUUAAUGAUACGAAGGGAUUUUCUUAAAAAGUAAAACUUUCUUCCAAUAAAUGUUUGGUGAAGCUAUUUGUUAAUUGUAAUUCAGUACUAACAAAAGUUAUAUCAAUAUCACUUUUUGAAACGUGAUCUCUUAUAAAAUGAUGCUUAAUAUCAAUAUGUUUUUUCCCUAGAGUGAAGCACAUGAUUUGUAGAUAAACAAAUGGCACUAGAAUUGUCAGACAAAAUUUUCAUAGAUUUAACAGAAAUAUCAUAAUCACUGAGUUGAUAAGUUAUCCAAAGAAUUUAUGCAGAACAUAAACCAAUAAAGAUAUAUUCUCAGACUCAGUAGUGGAGAUAGAAACAGAGUUUUAUUUUUUACUUUUCUAUGUUAUGAGAGAAUUUCCUGUAAGCUUACAUGAGCCACUAGUGCUUUUUCUAUUAUCCUUGUCUCCUGCAUAAUCUGCAUCUGAAAAAUCUUUUAGCUCAAAAUUAUUUAAUUUGGAAUACCAAAUUCCAAGGGAUAUGGUUUCAAUCAAAUAUCUAAUAAUUUUUUUAACAGCACUCAGAUGAGACUCCUUGGAGCCGACUGGAAUGUAGCAUACUUACAAACGCUAAAUAAGAUAUCUGGUCGACUGGAUGUAAGGUAAGAGAGAGCCAAUCAUGUCACGAUAUUUAGUUUCUUCAACAUUCUUACCAUCAUUAUCAGAUACAAACGUACAAGUGGAGCUCAUAGGAGUACUUGUGAAUUUAACAUCCUUCAUACCAAAUUUCUCAAUGAGUUCUUUGCUUUACUUUGACAAAUAAAAAUUUAUUCAGUUGAAUGUUGUAUUUGCAGUUCCAAGAAGAAUAUUAAUUCUCCAAUCAUGCUCAUUUCAAAUUCACUUUGUAUUAGUUUAGAAAAUUCCUUGCAUAAGAC